GAUGAAGAACGCAGCGAAAUGCGAUACGUAAUGUUAAUUGCAGAAUUCAGUGAAUCAUCGAAUCUUUGAACGCACAUUGCGCCCGCCAGUAUUCUGGCGGGCAUGCCUGUUCGAGCGUCAUUUCAACCCUCAAGCACAGCUUGGUGUUGGGACUCGCGUUAAUUCGCGUUCCUCAAAUUGAUUGGCGGUCACGUCGAGCUUCCAUAGCGUAGUAGUAAAACCCUCGUUACUGGUAAUCGUCGCGGCCACGCCGUUAAACCCCAACUUCUGAAUGUUGACCUCGGAUCAGGUAGGAAUACCCGCUGAACUUAAGCAUAUCAAUAAGCGGAGGA
Molecule: unclassified non-coding RNA, 332 nt
Filed under: soil metagenome
Description: partial contains 5.8S ribosomal RNA, internal transcribed spacer 2, and large subunit ribosomal RNA
Rfam family: 5.8S ribosomal RNA (bases 1-120)
Source: RNAcentral